CGUAGGUUGCGAGCGUUAUUCGGAUUUACAGGGCGUAAAGGGCGCGUAGGCGGUCGUGACAAGUCACUUGUGAAAUCUCCGGGCUUAACUCGGAACGGUCAAGUGAUACUGUCGGACUAGAGUACAGAAGGGGCAACUGGAAUUCUCGGUGUAGCGGUGAAAUGCGUAGAUAUCGAGAGGAACACCUGCGGCGAAGGCGGGUUGCUGGGCUGAUACUGACGCUGAGGCGCGAAAGCCAGGGGGAGCGAACGGGAUUAGAUACCCCGGUAGUCCUGGCCUUAAACGAUGAAUGCUUGGUGUCUCGGGUUAUAAAGUCCCGGGGUGCCGUCGCUAACGCUUUUAGCAUUCCGCCUGGGGAGUACGGUCGCAAGACUG
RNAcentral lists this ribosomal RNA (375 nucleotides) under uncultured organism. Its description in RNAcentral is "bacterial SSU rRNA". It matches the Rfam family "Bacterial small subunit ribosomal RNA", at positions 526 to 896 of the family's 1533-position model. The record is from RNAcentral.